Molecule: ribosomal RNA, 468 nt
Filed under: uncultured bacterium
Lineage: Bacteria
Description: bacterial SSU rRNA
Rfam family: Bacterial small subunit ribosomal RNA
Source: RNAcentral
ACGAACGCUUGCGGCGUGCCUAAGAAAUGCAAGUCGAGCGGGGUUAUUGGGGCUUGCCCUGAUAAUCUAGCGGCGAACGGUCGCGUAACACGUAAGCAACCUGCCCCAGAGUGGGGGAUAGUCCGCCGAAAGGCGGCUUAAUACCGCAUGUGGAUAUUUGAUUGCAUGGUUAAAUAUUUAAAACAGCGAUGUGCUCUGGGAUGGGCUUGCGGCCUAUCAGCUAGUUGGUGUGGGUAACGGCCUACCAAGGCGACGACGGGUAGCUGGUCUGAGAGGAUGGUCAGCCGGACUGGGACUGAGAUACGGCCCAGACUCCUACGGGGGGCAGCAAUUAGGAAUCUUGCGCAAUGGGCGAAAGCCUGACGCAGCGACGCCGCGUGACUGAUGAAGUCUUUCGGGAUGUAAAAGUCUUUUUUGGGGGAAGAAGGAUGUGACGGUACCCCAAGAAUAAGCCCCGGCUAACUACGU